UACGGAGGGUGCAAGCGUUAUCCGGAUUCACUGGGUUAAGGGCUACGUAGGCGGCCCUCUCAGUCGGAUGUGAAAUCCCCAGGCUUAACCUGGGAACGGCAUCCGAUACUGGAGGGCUUGAAUUCGGGAGAGGGAUGCAGAAUUCCGAGGUGUAGGCGGUGAAAUGCGUAGAUAUCUGGAGGAAUACCGGUGGCGAAGGCGGCAGUCCGAU
RNAcentral lists this ribosomal RNA (211 nucleotides) under uncultured bacterium. RNAcentral describes it as "partial 16S ribosomal RNA". It matches the Rfam family "Bacterial small subunit ribosomal RNA", at positions 524 to 733 of the family's 1533-position model. The record is from RNAcentral.